This 564-nucleotide ribosomal RNA is filed under the name Microhyla pulchra. RNAcentral's name for it is "partial 16S ribosomal RNA". It matches the Rfam family "Bacterial large subunit ribosomal RNA", at positions 1835 to 2616 of the family's 2925-position model. Lineage: Eukaryota; Metazoa; Chordata; Amphibia; Anura; Microhylidae. The record is from RNAcentral.
UUGAUAACCCAUAAGAGGUCCAGCCUGCCCAGUGACAAAGUUAAACGGCCGCGGUACCCUAACCGUGCAAAGGUAGCGCAAUCACUUGUUCUUUAAAUGAGGACCGGUAUGAACGGCAUCACGAGGGUUAUACUGUCUCCCCACUCAACUCAGUGAAACUGAUCUUCCCGUGAAGAAGCGGGAAUAAAGAUAUAAGACGAGAAGACCCCAUGGAGCUUAAAACUCAGAAUCAACUGCCACAUUUAUAACCUCAUAACCACGCAGCCAUGACCUCUAGUUUUCGGUUGGGGUGACCGCGGAGUAAAACACAACCUCCAUGAUGAAAGGAACUAAUACCCUAAUCUAAGGACGACAGCCCUAAGAAUUAAUACAUUAACCCAAUUGAUCCAAUCACUUGAUCAACGAACCAAGUUACCCUGGGGAUAACAGCGCAAUCCAUUUCAAGAGCUCAUAUCGACAAAUGGGUUUACGACCUCGAUGUUGGAUCAGGAUAUCCCAGUGGCGCAGCCGCUACUAACGGUUCGUUUGUUCAACGAUUAAAAUCCUACGUGAUCUGAGUCAGAC